GACGAAGGAUGCAAGCGUUAUCCGGAUUCAUUGGGUUUAAAGGGAGCGUAGGCGGACUUAUAAGUCAGUGGUGAAAUCUUCGAGCUUAACUCGGAAACUGCCAUUGAUACUGUAGGUCUAGAGUACAGUUGCCGUUGGCGGAAUAUGACAUGUAGUGGUGAAAUACUUAGAUACUGUCAUAGAACACCGAUUGCGAAGGCAGCUAACGAAGCUGUAACUGACGCUGAGGCUCGAAAGCGUGGGGAUCAAACAGG
This 254-nucleotide ribosomal RNA is filed under the name uncultured bacterium. RNAcentral's name for it is "partial 16S ribosomal RNA". It matches the Rfam family "Bacterial small subunit ribosomal RNA", at positions 524 to 776 of the family's 1533-position model. The record is from RNAcentral.